GCUGGGGGAGGUGCUUGGAGCUCAGUUCCCUGUGCCAUAGCACAUCGGGGUCCUCACUGUGCUGUGGUUCACAGCUCAAUGCCCCCCAGGCCUCAUGGUCUCGGAGUUGGUCCCAGCAGUGAGAAAAGUGACGGAGACAGGCUGGUCACCCCGAGGCACACUCAGCCUCUGCACUGCGGAGGAGCCGUUCUCGUGCCCUUCAUCGCGAGGCAGCCUGUCUGACCACGGUCUCGCUCCCUCUCCCACCCAGGAACGAUACGGGGCGAUUCUUUGGGUGUUGCAGGGUGACGGGUGGCUCCGGGUGCUGACGAUUGCCGCCUCCCUCCGGUGGACUCGGGGGUGGUGGUGCUGUCCUCCCUUGCCUCCCCCCAAAGCCUGACUGCGUGUUGUCCUGGCCCCGAGGGAUGAUGACAUCUCCAUGCUCCGCCCACCUUGCAAGGAUUCUGGGAAGUGUCCGGGUUGGGGCCUUUGUGUCAGAAGGAAAUCGAAGCUGGCUAAUGUGUCUGUGGUGAGUGCAGAAAACCGUUUCCUGGGGCCGCUGUGUUGGAGACUUCAGAACCAUGUUUCCCAAACAAAGCCAAGUGGACUGUGGCCCAUGCAGAGGGCAGUGGCGAGACUGUGUCGCCCAUGCUCCUGUGCCAGGACUGGGCCAGCACCGAGGGCUCUGAGUCGUACUGGGGUGGCCAGACUCAGCCAGGCCACCAAUGCCAGUCUGCACCAGAGACUACCAAAGUCAGAGCCCUCUCGAGGGCCAAAACCACGAGGCGUACGGCUUAGGGAGUGUCCAGGUCUGUUCCCAGCGGGGUGGAGAGGACACUCGAGGGCUGGGGAACUGAUCUGGGGACAAGGAGGGAGGGGUGGAGUUGCAUGAAAAGAGACAACAGGAAAGGGAAGAAGAAAAGGAGGUGGGGAGGGGGAGGAGACCACAGCGGCCCCCAGACUCCCCAGGUCCUCCCUUCUCUCGGAUUCCCAGGUUCCCCACCCCCUCUGUGUCAGCCCAAGUCCCACCUGGGCUUUGUCUGUGGGACAAGUCACAGCCACCGCAUGGCUUUGGGAGGUGCAGUGUGGCUGUGGGAGGAGGCGGUCUGGGGUGCCCACGGGAGGCUGGUGGGGGGCACCCAUGUACACACCUGUGGCUUUUCUCUUCGGCAGCUCAGGGGGCUGUGUCCCCACUGUGGCACUGGGUGCUGGCCAGGGCACUGCCCCGGGCACUGACGGUCAGCCCCCUGUGCUGCUGGCGUGUCUCUAGCACCGUCCCCUGUGGAAGCGUGGUUUCUGGCCAGCAGCAGCAGCAGCAGCAUCUAUGGCAUCUCUGUCCCCACACACAGCACACGGCCCCUCCUGGCUAGGGUCGUGCAGAAAGCCUGGUGCACAGAGGCCCUGCGUGGUCCAAGCGCACACCGUCAUCCCUGAGGUGCCUGGGGACUCACUCGGUGCUUUGGAGCAGCAGGUGUGAAAAAGAGGCCCGGAACGCGGCGAGGAGCGGGCCGCAGGGUCCCGGGCUGACGUCCCCGGUGCCCGGAGCAUCAGAACUCAUUUAUGCACACGCAGCCACGUCAUAAACUAUUUAAACGACUGUAGCAUUCUCCAUAUUUUAUUUUUUCCUUUUGGAGCUUAUGACAAAUAACUCGGAUUUCAUGAAAUAUAUAUUUUAAAUGUCUUUGCCCACCAAAAGAGCAAUUCCCUAGCAUGUUAAUUAGACUGGGGAGAUGAAAUUGAGGCUCGGGAGCAUAUUUGUA
Long non-coding RNA from Chinchilla lanigera (long-tailed chinchilla), 1739 nucleotides. RefSeq lists it as uncharacterized. The transcript is spliced from 3 exons. The record is from RefSeq and is a predicted model, not a curated record. NCBI's taxonomy places the organism in Eukaryota, Metazoa, Chordata, Mammalia, Rodentia, Chinchillidae.